AACUAGCCUUCGCUAGUGCUCGCGUUAGGGAUUGAACGGCCUGUUUGAAAUCCUUUUUGUUUUUUCGAAAAAACAAAAAGAUUGAGUAGUAAAAGCCCGACCCUUU
RNAcentral lists this non-coding RNA (106 nucleotides) under Algibacter lectus. The record is from RNAcentral. Lineage: Bacteria; Pseudomonadati; Bacteroidota; Flavobacteriia; Flavobacteriales; Flavobacteriaceae.